This is an RNA transcript of Magnolia sinica, 2984 nucleotides long. RefSeq lists it as uncharacterized. The transcript has 7 exons. NCBI's taxonomy places the organism in Eukaryota, Viridiplantae, Streptophyta, Magnoliopsida, Magnoliales, Magnoliaceae. The record is from RefSeq and is a predicted model, not a curated record.
AUCCUUGGAAAUUUGUAUUCGUCGUGUCGGUGUAUGUCCUACUUAUACUUUUAUCUCGGUGUAUGUACUAAUGUUUCUAUUUCUUUGCUUGCUUAUGAUCGAACACUUGAAAACUCAGACGAGAGAGAUUGGAGGUCCGAUAUGGGCUGUCGCCACUGCCUUCAAUAUUGUUUUUGCAUGUUGCAGCAUUCAGCACCAUUUCUGGGUUCUACUUCUUUUUCAUCUUCCCAAAAACUCCAACACUUGUUAUGGCGCGUGCAAAUCUUGCGAUAUACAGUCUUUCCUUGAUGAAGAUGUCUCGAAUGUAUUCCCUUGUGGUGAUUGUUUUUUUUAUCCCCAAAUAAUAUAAUAUCUUCAUUAUGGUUAUUUCUGUUUGUUAUGGUAUUAUUUUCGUAGGCUUCGUGAUAUGGUUGUGGUUGCAGCCGAUGAUGUGCUCAAAAAACCUUCAAUUUCUCUCUCUUGACAGAGUUUUCAGGUGCUCGAUCGUAGACACGCAAACAGAUAAAUAAAAGCAUGAGUAUGGCUGAGAUGGUUGUAUUGGCAGUUAGGAAACCAAUGGCUAAUAUGGAUAUUCACUACAAGAGAAGGGGGCAUUGUCAGGGCAUUGUUGCCGGCUGCCAACAUUUACCGUCGGCAAUUGAAGGUAACGAGCUCCCCAUUAUAAUUUUCAUUGUUUGGGGUAGCCUUAGCAUCCAAUCCCCUCUUCUUGUAGUUUCUGUUUGUUUCUUUACUGUGCUGACCACCGCCUCUUCUUCCAGGGAAAGCAGAUUCAUGCCUGCCUCAUUCUCCUCUCGAUCAUCCCCAACAACUUCCUCACCCAAAGCUCGUUUAUAUGUAUGGUAAAUUGUUUAUAUGUACUGUAAAUUCGUCCAUAUCCAUCACACCCGCAAGAUGCUUGACGAAACUCCCCACGGAAAUAUCUUCUCUCUCAAUGCAAGCCCAUUGCCUAUUCUCGUCUCUGUCAUCAUUCAAAGUCACCCUUAAACCUGAUAGUUUCACCAUCUCCUCCCUCUUGAAAGCGUUGUCAUCGGUGUCGCUUCCCCAUCCGAUGUUGGGUAAGGAGAUUCAUGCUUCUGUGUUUGGUCAUGGCUUCAAUUCUGAUCUAUAUUCUGAUCUAUUUGUCGCUAUUGCGCUGGUUACAUUUUACGCCAGGUCUGGUGAUUUGGACUUGGCUAGAAAGGCACUUGACGAAAUGCAUGAUAGAGAUGUUAUAUCAUAGAAUGCCUAACGGCUUGAAAAUCAGGCCGGUGUUAUUAUUCCUAUUCUCCACCUUGUUUAUUUUGUUUUCUGUUCGUUCAGCACAAAAACAUGAGAUUGUACAAUAUUUGCAAGCUAAGAAACAUAUAUUUGGAAUGACUGGUGAUUGAGUGAAUAAUGCUUUGUACUGACUGGUCAUGCAAUCUUUCAAGAGGAUGAAAAAUUACACAGGACGAGUAAUAAUACAGUUGACUUGUGAACCAGGAUACUCGAUAGGGUUCUAUCUACCAGAUUUGUUUCUGGUUUCCCAUCUGAUGUCUAUCUAGCUACAGCCAAUAAUAUUGGGAAAUUUUAUUUGAUUGCAGAUGAAAUAAUGAGUUUCUACAGAUGCAAGUUUUCUAAAUGGAUUUCUUUUUCUAUAACAGGUCAUGAACUUCUGCUUUGUUAGCUGUAGUAAGGGUACUAGAUGGUAUUUUUUGUUGCAGUGUUAACUUUAUUCUGUGGGAUCCCUCAUCUUGGACUGGGUGGCCCUGGGUUGCAUUAGAGUAGAUAGAGUCUGAUUUAGUUUUUCUUUUGGGGCAGUCUUGGGGACAUAUGAUAGGCAGGCUCGGACGGUUUUUUGAGCUGAGGGCCUGUCUGAAUGUAAUUCUGUUGUAUAGCUCUUGUUGUGUGGAUAAAGGUUUUCUUUCUUAAAAAAAAAAAAAAAAACUUUGUUCUGUGAGAUGGAUUUCUGUCUUUUGACCAGUUAUCCUGUGGUUAUGCUACUGCUGUUAACCUGUGCUGCAAGAGCGUGACAGAUUUGGGGAUUGGGUGCAUUGCGGUUGGGUGCCAGAAAUUGAAGUUGAUCUGUUUGAGUGUGACCGAUCUUGGGGUGGGAUUGAUUGCAGUGAAAUGAUCCGGAGCUUGGAUCUUUCCUAUUUGCAGGUCAGGCCGUAUUUAUGUGUUUGACACGCAAAAGAAUCUAAGAGCUCCUGCUUUGCAUAAAGUUGUUGAGCCAGCAGAAAUUCUCAGCUGGAAGAAGGCCGGGCCAUAUCUUCAAUGAAGCCUUUGUGUCAUUGUCCAUCCAUCGGUCUCUCUCUCAGCUGGAAGGAGAGCUGCUAGAAGACCUCCUUACCAUAUAGAUCCAUAGCCAAAUUAGUUCAAGGCACUUGUUUUGCCAGUUCUGUACAUCAAUUAUGUGUCUGAUUUUGCUAAAGAACCAUCAAACAUGCUUGCUUAUAACUGUUUUGACACAUGGUUGGUGGUACAAGCUCAAUAUAAAAGAUGACUGAUACUGAGGACAUUCAGCCCCUUGUGUGUGACAAUGGAACUGGAAUGGAAGCCAAUUGUUGACAUCAAAACAGUGUUAUCUCAACUAAUGGAGAGGUGGUCAAAUUAUGCUGUGUCAAGUUCAGAAGUUUUGUCAGAAUUCUUUCAAGUAAAGGCCUUUGCGAAAUUAAGCAAUGCCAUUGGGAAGAACUACCGGUUGCCAUCCAUGUUCCUAGACAAGCACAUGCAUGGAGUAGCUCGAUGAAAAGGCAACCAGUCCAGUCGUCUACAUUUCGUUCAGUGAUGUGGUCAAGCUAGGAGUGGACCACAUGGAGUAUUUUUUUUUUUUUUUUUUAAAUAUAUUCAAGAUCAUUUUCAACUUAUUGUUGUAAAUAUUAUAUAUAUUUUUUAUUGUAAAGUAAUAUAAUUUUUGUUUAAUAUUCAUUUUAAUUUUAUUGCAACAUUUUUUAGGUUUUAAAUAUUAAAAAAAAUAAUACAGGUUCCAAUUGAAUUAUAUAUAUAAGAAAAUUUUAUUGGCC